GCCAGCCUACGGGAGGCAGCAGUAGGGAAUCUUCGGCAAUGGGGGCAACCCUGACCGAGCAACGCCGCGUGAGUGAAGAAGGUUUUCGGAUCGUAAAGCUCUGUUGUAAGAGAAGAACGUGUGUGAGAGUGGAAAGUUCACACAGUGACGGUAACUUACCAGAAAGGGACGGCUAACUACGUGCCAGCAGCCGC
This 194-nucleotide ribosomal RNA is filed under the name uncultured Streptococcus sp. Its description in RNAcentral is "partial 16S ribosomal RNA". It matches the Rfam family "Bacterial small subunit ribosomal RNA", at positions 330 to 518 of the family's 1533-position model. The record is from RNAcentral. Lineage: Bacteria; Bacillati; Bacillota; Bacilli; Lactobacillales; Streptococcaceae.